GGAACACUCAGAGAGAGAGGAGGACCAGAAGAAGGCAGGACAAGGCAACACAGGAGGAGCAAGUGGUGUUCCAGAGAGCAACCUCCAUGGAGAGGUGGAGUUCCAGAAGUGGAGAGUAAAAGAGCACACUGCCCAAAAGCUUUGAGUACCUUGUUAAGAAGAAGGUGACCUUCCUUUGCUUUGAUUUUCUUUACUGAAGAGCACAAUGCAGAAAAAGGAUAAGACUUGUGGCUGGACACAGUGGAUUCCAAAAGAGACCCUAGAAGCCCAGUCUCCUUAGAAUGUUUC
Molecule: long non-coding RNA, 288 nt
Filed under: Rhinopithecus bieti (black snub-nosed monkey)
Lineage: Eukaryota; Metazoa; Chordata; Mammalia; Primates; Cercopithecidae
Description: lncRNA (ENSRBIG00000045454.1)
Source: RNAcentral